RNAcentral lists this transfer RNA (70 nucleotides) under Dipodomys ordii (Ord's kangaroo rat). It matches the Rfam family "tRNA". Rfam says of the family: Transfer RNA (tRNA) molecules are approximately 80 nucleotides in length. Their secondary structure includes four short double-helical elements and three loops (D, anti-codon, and T loops). The record is from Rfam by way of RNAcentral. Lineage: Eukaryota; Metazoa; Chordata; Mammalia; Rodentia; Heteromyidae.
GGGAAUGUGGCUUAGUGGUAGAGUACUUGCCUAGUGUGCAUGAAGCCCUAGGUUUGAUUCCUCAGUACCA